GACGAACGCUGGCGGCGUGCUUAACACAUGCAAGUCGAACGGAAAGGCCCUGCUUUUGUGGGGUGCUCGAGUGGCGAACGGGUGAGUAACACGUGAGUAACCUGCCCUUGACUUUGGGAUAACUUCAGGAAACUGGGGCUAAUACCGGAUAGGAGCUCCUGCUGCAUGGUGGGGGUUGGAAAGUUUCGGCGGUUGGGGAUGGACUCGCGGCUUGUCAGCUUGUUGGUGGGGUAGUGGCUUACCAAGGCUUUGACGGGUAGCCGGCCUGAGAGGGUGACCGGCCACAUUGGGACUGAGAUACGGCCCAGACUCCUACGGGAGGCAGCAGUGGGGAAUAUUGCACAAUGGGCGGAAGCCUGAUGCAGCAACGCCGCGUGCAGGAUGACGGCCUUCGGGUUGUAAACCGCUUUCGCCUGUGACGAAGCGUGAGUGACGGUAAUGGGUAAAGAAGCACCGGCUAACUACGUG
RNAcentral lists this ribosomal RNA (468 nucleotides) under uncultured bacterium. Its description in RNAcentral is "partial 16S ribosomal RNA". It matches the Rfam family "Bacterial small subunit ribosomal RNA", at positions 28 to 507 of the family's 1533-position model. The record is from RNAcentral.